This 515-nucleotide ribosomal RNA is filed under the name uncultured bacterium. RNAcentral's name for it is "partial 16S ribosomal RNA". It matches the Rfam family "Bacterial small subunit ribosomal RNA", at positions 28 to 523 of the family's 1533-position model. The record is from RNAcentral.
GAUGAACACUGGCGGCGUGCCUAAUACAUGCAAGUCGAGCGAAUGGAUUGAGAGCUUGCUCUUAUGAAGUUAGCGGCGGACGGGUGAGUAACACGUGGGUAACCUGCCCAUAAGACUGGGAUAACUCCGGGAAACCGGGGCUAAUACCGGAUAACAUUUUGAACCGCAUGGUUCGAAAUUGAAAGGCGGCUACGGCUGUCACUUAGGGAUGGACCCGCGUCGCAUUAGCUAGUUGGUGAGGUAACGGCUCACCAAGGCAACGAUGCGUAGCCGACCUGAGAGGGUGAUCGGCCACACUGGGACUGAGACACGGCCCAGACUCCUACGGGAGGCAGCAGUAGGGAAUCUUCCGCAAUGGACGAAAGUCUGACGGAGCAACGCCGCGUGAGUGAUGAAGGCUUUCGGGUCGUAAAACUCUGUUGUUAGGGAAGAACAAGUGCUAGUUGAAUAAGCUGGCACCUUGACGGUACCUAACCAGAAAGCCACGGCUAACUACGUGCCAGCCGCCGCUGUAA